AGUGGGCGUGGCGUAGUGCGAAGAGACGCGGUGCGCACGCGCGUGAGGGAUGUCGCGGUCUCGUGGUGGAACAUCUGACCCUUUUCAAGAGGAAGGAUGAAAACUCUACAUAGGAACACGAUGUGAAUGGAAGAAACCUGUCAUUAUGCAAAUAGUACGGUAUUCCGAACAGACACUAAAAAUAGCUGUCAUCUCAAAGAAUCCAGUGCUUGUGUCACAGUAUGAGAAAGUAGAUGCUGGGGAACAGCGUUUAAUGAAUGAAGCAUUCCAGCCAGCCAGUGAUCUCUUUGGACCUUGCAUUCUCCAUCAGAUUGGAUCACCUCCCACCCUGAGGCCCCCCAAGACUUUGAACAGUUCUUCAGUCAUCCUUACAGAAAGAUACCCUCUCCAGACAAACGCAGUAUUUAUAUACGGUCCAUUGGAUCUCUAUGAAGCACCAGAAUUAUCAGUGAAGAAUAUAUUAAAUGGCUCACGGGCUACUGUAAAGCAUAUUUCUAUCGCUUGAGAGUAAAACUGCUAGAACCAGUUCCUGUUUCUACAACAAGGUGUUCCUUUAGAGUCAAUGAGAACACACAAAACCUACAAAUUCAUGCAGGGGACAUCCUGAAGUUCUUGAAAAAGAAGAAACCUGAAGAUGCCUUCUGUGUUGUGGGAAUAACAAUGAUUGAUCUUUACCCAAGAGACUUGUGGAAUUUUGUCUUUGGACAGGCCUCUUUGACAGAUGGCACUGGUGAGGUGGAUUGAUGAUGAAUCUUCUGGCACACCUGGAGCAACUCCAGAACACAGUCGUGAGGAUAAUGGGAAUUUACUGAAACCCGUGGAAGGAAGCCUUUAAGGAAUGGAAAGAGUGGAUAAUAAAAUGCCUGACUGUUCUCCAAAAAUAAGGACCUUCAAAUAGGAGUGAUUGAAAUAAAUGACUACUUGCAUGUUAUGCUUUCAUUUGGGUGGAAUACUUCAUCAGAAUAAACUAUUGAUCUUGUGCUGUGUCAAAGUAACAGACUAGAACCUUCUUUCAAGUACCUGAAUUGAAAUGAAACUCAUUUUGAAUAAUAAAAACUCUAGAAACUCUUUAUCUUCUCA
Homo sapiens (human) is the source of this 1080-nucleotide long non-coding RNA. Ensembl annotates it as AMZ2 pseudogene 1. Its record names the gene AMZ2P1. NCBI's taxonomy places the organism in Eukaryota, Metazoa, Chordata, Mammalia, Primates, Hominidae. The record is from Ensembl.